GACGAACGCUGGCGGCGUGCCUAAUACAUGCAAGUAGAACGCUGAAGGAGGAGCUUGCUCUUCUGGAUGAGUUGCGAACGGGUGAGUAACGCGUAGGUAACCUGCCUGGUAGCGGGGGAUAACUAUUGGAAACGAUAGCUAAUACCGCAUAAGAGUAGAUGUUGCAUGACAUUUGCUUAAAAGGUGCAAUUGCAUCACUACCAGAUGGACCUGCGUUGUAUUAGCUAGUUGGUGGGGUAACGGCUCACCAAGGCGACGAUACAUAGCCGACCUGAGAGGGUGAUCGGCCACACUGGGACUGAGACACGGCCCAGACUCCUACGGGAGGCAGCAGUAGGGAAUCUUCGGCAAUGGACGGAAGUCUGACCGAGCAACGCCGCGUGAGUGAAGAAGGUUUUCGGAUCGGAAAGCUCUGUUGUAAGAGAAGAACGAGUGUGAGAGUGGAAAGUUCACACUGUGACGGUAUCUUACCAGAAAGAGACGGCUAACUACGUG
RNAcentral lists this ribosomal RNA (495 nucleotides) under uncultured bacterium. RNAcentral describes it as "partial 16S ribosomal RNA". It matches the Rfam family "Bacterial small subunit ribosomal RNA", at positions 28 to 507 of the family's 1533-position model. The record is from RNAcentral.